CCGAAAAGUGUGCGUCGGGGGC
Molecule: unclassified non-coding RNA, 22 nt
Filed under: Mus musculus (house mouse)
Lineage: Eukaryota; Metazoa; Chordata; Mammalia; Rodentia; Muridae
Description: oocyte_clustered_small_RNA10184
Source: RNAcentral